This is a non-coding RNA of Aegilops tauschii subsp. strangulata, 5414 nucleotides long. The record is from RefSeq and is a predicted model, not a curated record. NCBI's taxonomy places the organism in Eukaryota, Viridiplantae, Streptophyta, Magnoliopsida, Poales, Poaceae.
UCAAACCCUAGACCGAAGGGGUAAAAAGAAGCAACGCAGCCGGCUCCUCUCUCCCCGCUCGUCUCCUCCUCUCCCCCACGCCGCCCCUCCUCUCCCCGCUCGUCUCCUCCUCUCCUCUUCCCUCGACGCCGACUCCUCGCUGGCCUCCGCCUUCCCUCUCCGCGUCACCCCCGCAAUCCUUGCCGCCGCCUCCUCUCCUGCCGCCGCCACCUCGGCCUCGUCUCCUCUGUGCUGCCUCCUCCUCUCCACUUCUCUCCGCCACCGCAUGGCCGCCGCCGCUCGUCUCUUUCUUCACGCGACUCCUGUAGGACGAACCAUCCCCAUCCUCCAUCAGCCGCUGUUGUGCGCCGUGGUUCUUGACCGGCCGCAGGUCUAGGAGCAGAGGAGGACGGCGGUGGGGGGAAGGAAGAGUGCGGCCCGGACUCAGCAGGAGGAGGGGAGCAGCAGCAAAUCGGGCUUUAGGUUAGGCGAGGCUGGUGGUGCUCAGGCUUACGCACCACCAAAGGAUUUUCUCAUCGUGAUUGUGGCGUGCACUACGUCGAUGUGGACGGAGCGCGGGACAAGGUGACGGUGACUGGCACGGCGAGCCAGAAGAACGUGCUGCGCGCGGCGCACGGGGAAGCUCGCCCACUACCCUCCUCCACUUGUUCUCGUCUCGGUCAGGCUGGUGACCAGUGCCAGCACCGCUGCCACAUGUCGCCCACGCCCCUCCUCCGCUCGCUCUCGUCUCGGUCAGGCUGGUGACCAGUGCCAGCACCGCUGCCACACGUCGCCCACGCCCCUCCUCCGCCUGCUCUCGUCUCCGUCAGUAUGCUGAUGUUCAUUCCAUUGGAGCUGAGUCUCCUUGCCGGCGACCUUGCCAUCAAUUGCCUAUCUGCAGAUCGGAGAAAGAAGAGAUGAAGAACAAUUUUAGCUGAAGAGUUGAAGAAGCCAAGGUGAAUUUUAACCGUCUUGCAAACCCAAUCAAGUUUGCACUUGCAUUUUGAUAAUAUGAUUUGUGUUGAUGUGAGCACGAGUCCCUCUGAAGUGCUCGACCACCGGCUGGUUGCAGUGGAAGUCAGCAUCACUUAGCCGUGGCCAUCCCGGGCGCCGCGAGAAUUAGCUGAAAAAUCUUGCUGAGAUCCAGGUCACGGGCCAUCCCCAUUUAGGUGGCUAUGAAACUUGUUCCUAACGAAGAUAAAUUUAUGGAGGUGGUUAGGGGAACAGGAGGAGCAAGUUUGGCCUGGCAGGUGCUUCUCAGGUUCGAUGGCUUCCAGCAACAUCAAGAUCAUAGUGCUUUCCUCUUAGGUUCGGCCUUUGACAUUAAGCUCAAAAUCUACAUGUUGUCGAUUCGAUAAGAGAAGGCAAGGAGCUGUCCGCGAUCAGUAUGUAGUAAUGGGCAUCAAAGUUUUCUUACACCGGUGAUUCUGAAGCCGUUAAAUUGAUAUGAUCGCUUCACUCCCCUCCUAUACUCCUUUAGUCCAUUUAUUCCUAGACUAUAUGUUUUUAUUUUGUUAAAACCUUGAAGUAUUAAGAUGUUAGGGUAAAUUCUCUCACAAAGCUUGCUUUCUCCAUAGUCAUAUGUACAUGUGUUACUUUAUUUCCUAUAGCUAUAUUGCUAUUUCCCUCGGGACUUAUCCCCCUUUUCCUUCUUUAUAGUAGCAUGAUCAGGUGAAGGAAAGAAAAAUGUGUUUGAAUUAUCGUGUGGGUCUUUAAACAAUUAUGUGUGUCUUUAAACAAUUAUGUGUAUGGAGUAAGAACUGUAUAUAUAGCUAUUGAAUAAGAACUAUAUGUAUAGUUAUCGAUAUAUGUUUCUUGCAUCUUAGGGGUUCAAUGGCACCCGUCUCAUGUUUCUUCCAUGUGAUUUUUUACCCGAAUAUUAGGAUCACAACUUAACUUAAAUUAGCAGUAUAGUGUCAAUGGGCAUCAUUUGAAGCUAAUAAGAUGUUGUUACUGAAGAACAGCCCCUUGCUACUGGCAUAGUACGUGAAAAACACCCUAAAUAGAUUAAAGAAAUCAUGCUUGACUGUGAUUGCAUUUGGUUGAUGCUUAGGUGUAUUUCCCAUCGGUACAUCAAGGUGGUAAUCUUCUACAUUUCAGGUCCAAGCUUUCAAUGCAUUUUUCUAUCUUUUUUCAUAUCCCAGUGAUCAUCUGCAAGGCCGAAUUAUGCCAUUGUUGAUGGUGCACAGGUCUGUUGCAUGGUAAACCCAGUAUUGGCCCUCCUUUCAAGCUCUUGUGUUCAUCCUAGAGAAAAUUCUGGAAAAUACAUCUGAACUAUCUUUUUAAUCUUCCAAUAGUGUACUCCUACGAUUAUAUAUAUGGAUACAUCAAAUCGAUGUGUCUAGGGACCUAAAGCCUUAAGAGUUAAGUGCCAAACUGGGGACCAAUGUCAUAACUACAGAUGGGAUUUAUUCAGUUAUUUUCUUGCCUAGAAUGAUGAUGUAUGCAUAUGGGCGUUGUUCAGUCAUAAGAGCUUAUCGGUUCAGCCUGCAUAGUUUUGUUUCUUCAGUGUACUGUGUCUGAGGAAAACAUUUAUUUUGUUUCCUAUUUAAGUGAAUUCAUGGAUGAGAUGGACGAAUUUCUAUUGUGUGGGCUGGAGGUUCUUGAGGUAGGGUACCAGCACUAGCUAAGGGUAAAAUGUAUGACAUGCUUGAUGAGCAUGCAUGUCUAUAUGAUUUUGUGGCACUGAUUUGUUCCAUGCCAGUUUAUUUCCAGCAGUUGGUCUCCUUCUUCAUAGAGAUUUUAUCAGUAUACUAAAUUAAAUAAGAAACUGAAUGUAUAUUGCUUUCACCUUCAGUUCGAACAUGAUUUCUUAUUUAUGACAUAGGUGGAAAUUAGCAAGCAAGCUACAGUCGGUCCAUGGAUGACCAAGUUUACAGAUUACUUUAUGAAGAUGAUGAUUCCUAAAUAGAAUUACGAGCUAGGUCCUGCAUGUUGAUCGUGCUUCAAGGUAGUGGCAUCUUCAGGAAAAAGUAGUGGCAGAUAUACUGGAGACUACUGCCCAAAUCCUCAGCACAUAUUUUUUUAGUAACGGAGAGGAUUAUUCACCUUUGCGGCUGUAGGCGUUCAAGACCUGGCAGGGCUGGGUCAACCGGCCCUUUGUGUUCAUGACCCGGCUCUGAUGAGCCUUAACAGCCGUGCUACCGGCUGGGCAUCUUCAUCCUGAGCCGUGUCCAGAACAAGACCAGUAGGGGCACCCUGAGCGAGUACUCGAGGCAUGCUGUCAAGUUGGAUGAGUGCAACCAGGCGAGUUGCCGUGUGUGUCCACGGUUCAUAUAGUCAAGGUGUUCGCUCAUCUUGGGCCAGAAUGAGCACUACAAGAGGAAGCCCCCAAUAUUUUUCAUUCUUUGAUAGAUGGUUACAUUGUUGUAUGUUGGUUAAAGACAAUGUUUUUCUUCUCGAAUUAUGAUACCUCAAACAACAGUAAGAUAUAACCGUUUUAUUUGUUUUGCAAUGAAAGCUUCCAUCAAAUAGUAUUUUAGAAUUGUGCUCCGUCUUAGGCUAUUUUGUACUCCCUCCGUUCCUAAAUAUAAGUCUUUGUAGAGAUUUCAAAUGGACUACCACAUACUGAUGUAUAUAGACAUAUUUUAUAGUGUAGAUUCAUUCAUUUUGCUUCGUAUGUAGUCAUUUGUUGAAAUCUCUAGAAAGACCUACAUUUAGGAACGAAGGGAGUAGAUUCAUACAAGAUACAGUUUGUGUGCAUUGAAAUAGCAACAAGUUGGCCUCUCGGUCUCAUUUCUGUAUGCAUUUGACUCGUACACGCAACCAGCGUGUCCAUGUGAUUUGGAUGAAUUUCUCUACCCUGUUUUAUGUUGUGAUGUCUUUGAUUUUUGUCUCUUCCAGAUUUACAUAGAGAUGCCUCGGUGAAUACUCAAGAUUUUUGUGUUCUUUUCUAUUGACGGCCUUUAGGUUUUUAUUUUUAUUUUUAUAAUGUUCUGAAACGAGGUCACACCUACUAAUCUUGCUCUACAGGCUAAUGGCAUGAUGCUAGGUCAAGAAUGCAGGGUGAGCAAAAUAAGACUAUGAACACUUUUAUCUCUUUGUUCAUCUAGAGCAUAUGGAGGGAGCAAGAUAAGGGGCUUUGACAGUGUCUUCACACCGCCUCAGAGGGGGUGCCACCGAGGGCUUUCUCAUGGAACGCGGUGCAAGGUGGUUUUACGGUGCACUAGGGGAGCAUGGAACGUGGUGCACUGGGGGUGCCACUGAGGGCUACCCUGCACGCUGGUCUUCUACUACUUUCCCAGGCCUAUUACUUCCCCUGAGAUGGUUCUAAGGGUUCUAUUCGACUCUAUUAUAUUUUUUUCUUUUUUGAUUGCUUUUCCUUCUCUGUUUCUUUUUUUAUAUGCAAGGCCAUAAAAUUUUACCAUGCAUCCUUGCUCACACAGAAAAUUACUUCAAAACACACAUGCUUCUAAAAAUGCACAUCCUUUUCAGAACUAUGUAUAUCUUAUCAUCAAAGGUUAUAAGGCAGAAUGUGUUUGCCCACAACUAAAACAAGUAAUACAUUGUACUUCUUCAAAUCACACGUGGAAUUAGCGAGCUCCUUCAGGUAUUUCAAGGAAAAAACAGAAUCUGUUUAACUAAUUUUCUAUAUUGCUUAUUUAUGCAUUUGUGACCAUAGCUUUCCACUUUAGCUCAUAAACUAGAUGGCAAAAUAGAGUUUGCCCAUUUCAUAUCUAUGUUGCCUUAUUAGGAAAAUAGAGUUUGUUUUAUAGCUUAUGCUUAAUAUGUUUGUUCGAUUGGUGAAUGCUCAACAUUACCUCAUAAACCGGAUGGCAAAUGCUAAUUCUGAUGGGGCUUUUGCCACUUCUUUUUUUAUGGUUGUCUAGCCAGCUGAUGGCAUGCUUCUUUCUUGCUAAUUGUCAAUUCUUUUGUACAUGGCCCCUCAGCUACUUAUGCUUUGCUAGACAAUGAGAGUAUGUAGAUAGCAUGUAUGGUUUUUACAUUGUCUUGUGCAGGUUGAGAUGCAUCACAUGAUGUUUUCCUUUUACAUGUAUGGCUAUUACAGAGUCCUUUCUUUUUCCACAAGGGGCAGUAGUUGUGCCAUUCGAUUCGAAGGACAAAGAGUUGAUCACAAAGGGGUACUGAAUAUUAUCAAAAUGAAUAUGAGAAUGGGUGCAUGAGAGGAAUAUUGUGGAACAAUCCACUGGCUAACAAACUUGGCAUGGUGGAGGAUGGCCUAUCUUAUUCACCCAUCAAGAUGUCCAAAAGGAAGAGGGUGAGUGCAGAUCCUCAAGGAGUACAAACUAGGUAUUUGGAAAAGGUAGCGAUACAUGUUAAAUCAGAUAGAUUAGCAGCCACAGAAAACACAGGCCCAACUAUACCACACUUCACCCCUACUCCACUGGCCAAACCCCUAUUAGAACUGCUGAGAGCCCAACAUCAGAUGAAUCUCCUUGCUCAAAGGAUCAUAGGAUCUCACAACAAUACUGGGC